GACGAAGGGGGCUAGCGUUGUUCGGAAUUACUGGGCGUAAAGCGCACGUAGGCGGAUUGUUAAGUCAGGGGUGAAAUCCUGGAGCUCAACUCCAGAACUGCCUUUGAUACUGGCGAUCUCGAGUCCGGGAGAGGUGAGUGGAACUGCGAGUGUAGAGGUGAAAUUCGUAGAUAUUCGCAAGAACACCAGUGGCGAAGGCGGCUCACUGGCCCGGUACUGACGCUGAGGUGCGAAAGCGUGGGGAGCAAACAGG
RNAcentral lists this ribosomal RNA (253 nucleotides) under uncultured bacterium. Its description in RNAcentral is "partial 16S ribosomal RNA". It matches the Rfam family "Bacterial small subunit ribosomal RNA", at positions 524 to 776 of the family's 1533-position model. The record is from RNAcentral.